GAUCCGUAACUGGUCUGAGAGGAUGAUCAGUCACACUGGAACUGAGACACGGUCCAGACUCCUACGGGAGGCAGCAGUGGGGAAUAUUGGACAAUGGGCGAAAGCCUGAUCCAGCCAUGCCGCGUGUGUGAAGAAGGUCUUCGGAUUGUAAAGCACUUUAAGUUGGGAGGAAGGGCAGUAACUUAAUACGUUGCUGUUUUGACGUUACCGACAGAAUAAGCACCGGCUAACUCUGUGCCAGCAGCCGCGGUAAUACAGAGGGUGCAAGCGUUAAUCGGAAUUACUGGGCGUAAAGCGCGCGUAGGUGGUUUGUUAAGUUGGAUGUGAAAUCCCCGGGCUCA
This 341-nucleotide ribosomal RNA is filed under the name Pseudomonas sp. Its description in RNAcentral is "bacterial SSU rRNA". It matches the Rfam family "Bacterial small subunit ribosomal RNA", at positions 278 to 611 of the family's 1533-position model. Lineage: Bacteria; Pseudomonadati; Pseudomonadota; Gammaproteobacteria; Pseudomonadales; Pseudomonadaceae. The record is from RNAcentral.